UACGGGGGGUGCGAGCGUUGUCCGGAAUCACUGGGCGUAAAGGGCGCGUAGGCGGCUCAUGAAGGCUGUGGUGAAAGUCCGGGGCUCAACCUCGGAUCGGCCGUGGCGACUCGUGGGCUGGAGCACUGUAGAGGCGGGUGGAAUUCCGGGUGUAGCGGUGGAAUGCGUAGAGAUCCGGAAGAACACCAGUGGCGAAGGCGGCCCGCUGGGCAGUGGCUGACGCUGAAGCGCGACAGCGUGGGGAGCAAACAGG
Molecule: ribosomal RNA, 253 nt
Filed under: uncultured bacterium
Lineage: Bacteria
Description: partial 16S ribosomal RNA
Rfam family: Bacterial small subunit ribosomal RNA
Source: RNAcentral